CACUUUCCAAUACUGGCACAGUAAAGGAUUUUUGUAAGUUAGACCUUUGCACUUUUUCAAAAGCCGUGUUUGGAGCAACAUCACUAUUUUAUAUUAGAUUUACAGUGCGUACUACCACGCAUAUCAAAUCUGAAGUGGCUGAAUGCCCAUUUUCAGACGCUUGUAGCUACUGUUACAGAAAAUUGAAUUCAGCUGCAUCCUUGAAAUUGCUUCUGAAAUUUCUUUACAAACAUAGAAGAAGACUUAAUCCAUCAUAAUAUUAUUCAUGUUCCCAAUACUUAUAUUUUGAAAACCUCAACACAACAGAAAUUAUAUAAAGAAUUCUUAUUUGACAUAUUAAAGACACAACGUUUUAAAUUUCAUUACUGCUUUCUUGACUGUGUGUCACAAUUCUGUGAAGAUCAGGUUCUUGUGCUGAAUUGGGAACGUCUUCACCGGGAUGAAUCUAUUGUUUCCUUGCUGAGUUUAGCGGUUUCAGUUUGUAGCCUGCUAAAAAGUAGGAAGUUCUGCUUAAAAAAUCGCAACAAACAGAAAAGCCUCAUACCUCAAUCUCUGUGGAAAAGAGCCCUCUGAGCAGGUGUAAGAAUCGCCCAGAUUUUCCAUACAAGCCAAGAAGCGGGCUUUGAAGAUGCAAAAAGAAGCUGGUAGCAUGUUGCAACAGCCUAUCAAAAGAGGCUGCACCCAUUCUUCAAUUACCUGAGCUGCACCCCUUAGUUGUUUGUCUUCAAAUCAAGAGAAGAAGGAACUGAAGCAUGUUUUAUACCAGGAACUUGAUAGCCACAGAGUGGUUAUGGGGAAAAGCCACAGAAAAUCACCAUGUAAAUGCUUUUCUUGCUUCCCAAGUCAAAAUUGCUUUUGGUGUAAUGAAUGAAAUCUACACUUUAUCUACUAUACAUCUAGAUACUAUCAGAUAGCAUGUACAUGCCAUUAUUUCACUUCCCAGUUUGCUGGAUCAACCAAGUCACUGUCAUGUGUUGUUGUAACUGAUACGAUAUUUUGGAAGCAAAGAAGAG
This 1013-nucleotide long non-coding RNA is filed under the name Strigops habroptila (Kakapo). RNAcentral describes it as "lncRNA (ENSSHBG00005011807.1)". The record is from RNAcentral. Lineage: Eukaryota; Metazoa; Chordata; Aves; Psittaciformes; Psittacidae.